UGGCGGCCUUAGCGCGGUGGUCCCACCUGACCCCAUGCCGAACUCAGAAGUGAAACGCCGUAGUGCCGAUGGUAGUGUGGGGUCUCCCCAUGCGAGAGUAGGGAACUGCCAGGCA
This 115-nucleotide ribosomal RNA is filed under the name Escherichia coli. The record is from RNAcentral. Lineage: Bacteria; Pseudomonadati; Pseudomonadota; Gammaproteobacteria; Enterobacterales; Enterobacteriaceae.